This is a long non-coding RNA of Sinocyclocheilus anshuiensis, 288 nucleotides long. RefSeq lists it as uncharacterized. The record is from RefSeq and is a predicted model, not a curated record. The transcript has 3 exons. Lineage: Eukaryota; Metazoa; Chordata; Actinopteri; Cypriniformes; Cyprinidae.
GUCAUAUCAGUCCAGUUUUUAAGAAGAACUUCAGUGCCUUGCUGAAAAGGAGAGGGUCCACACACCCCUUUGAAAGGAUUGCUACACCUUUCCAGUUGUUCAGCUGGACUGCUCCAGCACUUGACCAUACAAUGGACUGUCUUCGAGCAGAGGAUGUCAGCUCCUUCAGCCUGGGUUAUGAAGAACACGUGCCUGCUCUGGCCCGGGACUGGAAUGAAGAACUUCAGACCACAAGAGAGCUUCCAAGGAAAACCGUGACUGAUCGUCUGAUGAGGGACCGAGCUGUUU